RNAcentral lists this ribosomal RNA (406 nucleotides) under uncultured bacterium. RNAcentral's name for it is "partial 16S ribosomal RNA". It matches the Rfam family "Bacterial small subunit ribosomal RNA", at positions 30 to 526 of the family's 1533-position model. The record is from RNAcentral.
AUUGAACGCUGGCGGCAGGCCUAACACAUGCAAGUCGAACGAGUGGCGGACGUGUGAGUAAUUUCUGGGAAACUGCCUGAUGUAGGGGGAUAACUCCUGGAAACGGUAGCUAAUACCGCAUACCAUCAGAUGUUCCCAGAUGGGAUUCGCUUGUUGGGGGGGUAACGGCUCACCAAGGCGACGAUCCCUAGCUGGUCUGAGAGGAUGACCAGCCACACUGGAACUGAGAAACGGUCCAGAGUACUCCGGGAGGAAGCAGUGGGGAAUAUUGCAAAAUGGGCGCAAGCCGGAUGCAGCCAUGCCGCGGGUAUGAAGAAGGCCUUCGGGUUGUAAAGUACUUUAAGCGGGGAGGCGUUACCCGCAGAAGAAGCACCGGCUAACUCCGUGCCAGCCGCCGCGGUAAUUC